RNAcentral lists this long non-coding RNA (707 nucleotides) under Mus musculus (house mouse). Its description in RNAcentral is "predicted gene, 49237". Lineage: Eukaryota; Metazoa; Chordata; Mammalia; Rodentia; Muridae. The record is from RNAcentral.
GGCUCCUGGCAAUGUCAUUAGCAAACGGUUUCCUGUGCACAUCAAGGGAGAGGGGAUGCAAGAAAGGCCUGUCAGUGUGUGUUUAUGUGUAUGUGUGCACACAUAUGCAUGCAAGUUUCACAAGGCAUACACCUGAAGGUCAGAGGACAACUAACUGGAUUAAAUUCUCUUCUACCAGCACUGAAGAUGGAAGCAAGAGUCUUACAGAAGAUAGGUACCCUACUACUGAGCUUCAUUCUCUGCCCUAAAAAAAAGGUUCUUAUUUAAAAAAAAAAUUGAAUCUUAAAGUGUGUGUUGGAUUAAUUCCAGUGCAUUUAAAACAUUAGAGUCUCAAGAGGUGAGGAUAAAACCACAUUAUUUUUAAUCAAACAUAUAUGCAAUUUAGCAUUUAUUUAAAAACACAAUAGUUGCUAGUACCAAACAGUGUGAAUAUAUUUUCAGCAAUUAAGAGCUACCAGCUGAAAACCAUCAUUUGGUACUGUAUUCUUAGAAUAUUGGUUUCGGAGAAAACUUAAAAAUGCAGGAAAUAUUAUAGAUCUCAUUUGAUCCUGUAGACAAUAAUAAACAGAAGUUUCACUCUCCCUUGGAGCCUAUCUAUUAAGAAUUGGUCAUCUAGAGCUCCUGCAAUGGGAUACCUGAUUUGGGCACCUGUGGGUAUAUGAACCCUUCAGAGGAGAGUUGAAGGUGGAGCUCAUCUGUUAUGUGGG